This 755-nucleotide ribosomal RNA is filed under the name Rhinella sp. 8 MP-2021. RNAcentral describes it as "partial 16S ribosomal RNA". Lineage: Eukaryota; Metazoa; Chordata; Amphibia; Anura; Bufonidae. The record is from RNAcentral.
CCCCUAUUUCUAUUUAGUAAUUCUAUAAUAUAAAAAAUUUUGUUAAAACUAGAAACAAGAAGAAGACCUUCUCUUUAAUGUAAGUGUUAAUCAAAAAGGACAAACCACUGAUAUUUACCUCCAUUAAACCUAAAACUCAUCCAAAACUCAUCUUUACUUAUGUUUACCCAACACAAGAACAUUCUAAAAAUUAAAAAGAACGAACUCGACAAACAUUAACCUCGCCUGCUGAACUUUAUAACAAAUCCAGCCUCCCAAUGACUCUAUUUAACGGCCACACUAUACUAAACAUGCGAAGGUAGCACAAUCACUUGUUUUUUAAAUACAAACUAUUAUGAAUUAUACUACAAGGGUUAUACUGCUUCCUUUUUCUAAUUAGUAAAAUUAUUUCCCGUGAAGAAGCGGAGAUAUAAAUAUAAGACGAGAAGACCCUAUGGAGCUUUAAACAACCCAACAAUUACUUUAAAAUUUUAUAAAUUUCAGACUACCCAUUUUUUAAACAAUAUGUCUGCAAGUUUUUGGUUGGGGUAACCAUAGAGUAUAAUAUAACCUCCAUACUGAAUGAAUUACCUUCUAAGCUAAAAAUUACUGAUUGAAGCAUCAACACACUGACAUCCAUUAACCCAACAUAUUGGAUCAACGAACCAAAUUACCCUAGGGAUAACAGCGCAAUCCACUUAGAGCCCCAUCAACAAGUGGGUUUACGACCUCAAUGUAGAUCAAGAUAACCCAGUGGCGCAGCCGCUACUAAAGGC